AGUCCCUGUCAGGGGAGUCUCGCCAGAGAGACUGAGAGGCUAAUAGCGAUUUUCGCGGCUUAGCGACCCUUAGAACCUGACCCAGCUGAUACUGGCGUAGGAAGACUCGUAUCUUGAUGA
Molecule: non-coding RNA, 120 nt
Organism: Erwinia pyrifoliae
Lineage: Bacteria; Pseudomonadati; Pseudomonadota; Gammaproteobacteria; Enterobacterales; Erwiniaceae
Source: Rfam